This 358-nucleotide ribosomal RNA is filed under the name uncultured Katablepharidophyta. Its description in RNAcentral is "partial small subunit ribosomal RNA". It matches the Rfam family "Eukaryotic small subunit ribosomal RNA", at positions 30 to 399 of the family's 1831-position model. Lineage: Eukaryota; Cryptophyceae; Kathablepharidacea. The record is from RNAcentral.
GCUUGUCUCAAAGAUUAAGCCAUGCAUGUCUAAGUGUAAAUAAGUCUAUACUGUGAAACUGCGAAUGGCUCAUUAAAUCAGUUAUCGUUUAUUUGAUGAUCUCUUACUACUUGGAUAACCGUAGUAAUUCUAGAGCUAAUACAUGCACAAAAUCCCGACUUACGAAGGGAUGUAUUUAUUAGAUACAAACCAACAUCGUGGUGAUUCAUAAUAACUUUGCGAAUCGUAUUGGGCACUUGCUGCCGACGAUGGAUCAUUCAAAUUUCUGACUUAUUAACUUUCGAUGGUAAGGUAGUGGCUUACCAUGGUCGCCAUGAGUAACGGAGGAUCAGGGUUCGAUUCCGGAGAGGGGGCCUGA